UACUAUGAUGAUAAACUUCCAAUUAACGCUUGGCUUCUGAAAUUAUUGUAAAUCCAGUGUUGAUACUUAUUUUGCCAUUAUCUGAGU
RNAcentral lists this small nucleolar RNA (87 nucleotides) under Cryptosporidium parvum Iowa II. Lineage: Eukaryota; Apicomplexa; Conoidasida; Eucoccidiorida; Cryptosporidiidae. The record is from RNAcentral.